GACUAACGCUGGCGGCGUGCUUAAUACAUGCAAGUCAACGACUUUUAGAGUAGCAAUAUUUUAAAGGAAGUGGCGCACGGUGAGUAACACGUAGGUAAUCUGCCUUCAGGACUGACACAACUCGUCGAAAGACGGGCUAAUAUCAGAUAAUGCAGCGGCUCCGCAUGGAGACAGUUGUUAAAGUACAAGCGCCUGAAGAUGAGCCUGCGGUCCAUUAGCUAGUUGGUAGAGUAACAGCCUACCAAGGCAACGAUGGAUAGCUGGUCUGAGAGGAUGAUCAGCCACACUGGAACUGAGACACGGUCCAGACUCCUACGGGAGGCAGCAGUAAGGAAUAUUGCUCAAUGGCCGAAAGGCUGAAGCAGCAACGCCGCGUGAAGGAUGAAUGGCCUUUGGCCUGUAAACUUCGGUAAAAAGGGAAAACAGUACAGGUAUAUCCUGAUUUGAUUGUACCUUUGAAGUAAGCCCGGCUAACUACGUGCCAGCAG
This 488-nucleotide ribosomal RNA is filed under the name uncultured bacterium. RNAcentral's name for it is "bacterial SSU rRNA". It matches the Rfam family "Bacterial small subunit ribosomal RNA", at positions 28 to 514 of the family's 1533-position model. The record is from RNAcentral.